GCCAACUAGAGCAAUUUUUCCACCAGUUGCAAUCUCUGCAAUAAAUAUAUCAUCAAUGUACAUUUACACAUCAACUACAUCGACAAUGCACAUUUACACACUUUGAUGUUAACGAUUUUUUGCUUUAAGAAUUGUCCUACUCGAGCAAUUAUUCCACCAGUUGCAAUUCCACAAUAAAUAUAUCAAAACUGGACAUUUACACAUUAACUACAUCGACAAUGCACAUAACCUAUUCACUGUGAGAAACAAUGUCUACCCAAGUGUGAAGUGUCUUGUGUUACUCAAUGGAAAAUACAAAACAAAAAAUGUACCAAAUAAGUAAAGGAAAUAAAGGAAAACAAAAUAGUAAGAUAAUUAAAUCAGAAAUUUAGAAUCACAGUGGUCAAACGGUCAAAGUGUCUUGUGUUGUUCAAAGGAAAAUGACUAAAUUCAGAAAAAAUAGGAGUUAAUGUGCCUGAGACAGCAAAGGUAUGGUUAAAUAAUAACACUCUUGAUAUCGUUAAUACCACCAAGUAUAUCACUUGCUAGCUUUAGACCAAACUUGGAACAAAAUCAUGUAUUCAAUUUUUGUUGUUCACCUCAUUUUAGACACAACCAUAAAGGGCUUCAACCUCGUUCAUGUCAUAGUUUUCAGUUGCCACUAACUAUUGUUUUUCAAGUGCAGCAACAUCAAGUACUUCACUUGCUACUAACUAAAUGGAUAUGUAUACAUAUUUAAAAUACUCAUAUCAUAAAAAGUAAAACCUGAGCAACAUAAAUAUAGUAUAAACUGAUGUCAAAUAUGGUUCACACAUAAACAAACACAAAAAGAUCGGCCAAAUGAGAACAUUUAUUUAGAAUGAUUAAACAUGAGAUUAGAAAUAUAUCAUCUUAUCUAGCAAUUGGCCAAGUUCAUCUCAUAGAAUAUCAUGACUUCAUUAAUAUUAUUCCAAUAACGCCAUGCAGUCAACUUCAGUAGAUUCAAUCAUUAUCAGUUCUAAUGAAAAAAAGUCAGCCCUCAUAAAUGAACUGCUCUGAUCCUAUUAAUUCACAUUUCCUAUAUAAUGAAACAUAUGAAAAGAGAUGAGCUCAAAUUAAUCAUAUUUACUGGAGGGCGAGGAAGGCACAAACCACUCACUUUUCGAUGAUAAUUGGUCAAUUGCAAAUAUAAAUCUAUUUCUCGCAAAUAGAUUGAGCUCAAAUUAAUCAUAUUUUUGAGGUUACGCCAAGUAGUCUGCACCAACAAAUAAACUUGAGAUUAGUUGAGAAAGGUGAUUACUUACACACAGAAAAAGAGGUGAAUAUAUUAUGAUGUACCAAUAGACGAAUUGAGAGGCAGUAUGAAUUCAAACAAUAACAAAUAAAAUAUUGCUUGAUAAUUUGUUUCCAAAUUUGCCCAAUAAAAAACUCAGUAAUACAUUUCAUCUGAUAUCAGUUGGUCAAUAUUAAAGUACCAACAAAAAUAGAGAAAAACAAGGGAAAAGAGGACUAAAAAUUCUUAUGAAGGUUCAAGCAAGCACCACCUAUGAUUUUGCUCAAUCAUGCAUAUAACACUGUUAUGACUUAAUCAUUGACCACCUGCAUUCAUAAUGGGGAAGAUAAGAAUAAGAGAUAUAAAGAAAAGAAAGGAUAUGUUUGCUACAUACUUAAAUUGAUCCUUCUAGCCUACUAAUAACAUACAUCAGGGCAAUACAUGUUAAUAGCGGCUCCCAAAAAGACUUAGCAAUGCUGGUAGAAUGUUGAAUAAAUCAUUAUGACUUAAACUUACAAAAGGCCAAUACAUUACCUGAAUUGCUUGUGGUAGAACUGAGAUUCGACUGGUUCUGUGAUAGAAAAUGAAGAAGACUGAAGGGAGAGGACUUGAGAAAAAGAUAAUUAUACUAUCGUAAGAUUGACAUAGCAACUUUGUGCAAGCAAAAGAAAAGAGAGAUUAGCUAAAUGGUUAUAGCAGAAUUGAUAUAUAUGACAUUUUGUUCCUAAUCUCUAGUUGAAAAUUUUACCUCUCUCUCUCUCAAUUGCCAAGCUUUGUAUGUUAAUUAAAAAUUUUGAUUUUGUGUUCAAUUAGAAGUUGAACUCGCUAUUGUAAUUAUGUUGCCCAAGGCUAUAAAUUGGGAACAACACGUUAACUCUCCGUGCAACAUGUAUAGGACCUGUCUUUACUCUUAUUCUUCUUCUUCAUUCACUGUUAUCCGCUGAGAAAACAUGAUACAAUGAAAAUACACUGUAAUAGAGGUGGAAGUAGAGCCAAAUUAAUAAAAAAAGAUUUCAAAUUGGGAACUGAUUAAGAAACAAUUACAAUCAAAGAUUUUGGAAACCAAUGAUUGACUCAUAGUAUAACAGUAUUGAUUAUUAGAAAGAUCUCUAAUUUGAGGUUUGCAAUUUCCAACCCUUUGAUUCGAUCACUCAAACCCAUCCCAAAAAAAAAUUGUGAAGGAAGACUUACUAAAGAAAGAGGCAUAUGGGUGCAACUACAGCGGGAAAUUGAAGAUUAAAGCUAUAAUUAUUCAGCUGGUUGGGAUGAUUUCAAGUUUCAACCACCAUUGAGAGAAAGAUGAUCGCAAUAUGACUGGAGGUUAUACCAUCAUCUUAGCACGGGUAGCAAAAUCCCUUCGUCCAUUGCUAGGUUCCACACCUUUAAGCUAAAUUUAGUAGCAAAUUUAGAUGAAGAAGGAUUUAUAGAAUUAUGGGUCUGUUUGAUUGGUCGUGGGAAAUAUUCCCACGUCAA
Molecule: long non-coding RNA, 2704 nt
Filed under: Aquilegia coerulea
Lineage: Eukaryota; Viridiplantae; Streptophyta; Magnoliopsida; Ranunculales; Ranunculaceae
Description: long non-coding RNA (ACOE_LNC001711)
Source: RNAcentral